ACGCUGGCGGCGUGCCUAAUACAUGCAAGUCGAGCGAACGGACGAGAAGCUUGCUUCUCUGAUGUUAGCGGCGGACGGGUGAGUAACACGUGGAUAACCUACCUAUAAGACUGGGAUAACUUCGGGAAACCGGAGCUAAUACCGGAUAAUAUUUUGAACCGCAUGGUUCAAAAGUGAAAGACGGUCUUGCUGUCACUUAUAGAUGGAUCCGCGCUGCAUUGGCUAGUUGGUAAGGUAACGGCUUACCAAGGCAACGAUGCAUAGCCGACCUGAGAGGGUGAUCGGCCACACUGGAACUGAGACACGGUCCAGACUCCUACGGGAGGCAGCAGUAGGGAAUCUUCCGCAAUGGGCGAAAGCCUGACGGAGCAACGCCGCGUGAGUGAUGAAGGUCUUCGGAUCGUAAAACUCUGUUAUUAGGGAAGAACAUAUGUGUAAGUAACUGUGCACAUCUUGACGGUACCUAAUCAGAAAGCCACGGCUAACUACGUGCCAGCAGCCGCGGUAAUACGUAGGUGGCAAGCGUUAUCCGGAAUUAUUGGGCGUAAAGCGCGCGUAGGCGGUUUUUUAAGUCUGAUGUGAAAGCCCACGGCUCAACCGUGGAGGGUCAUUGGAAACUGGAAAACUUGAGUGCAGAAGAGGAAAGUGGAAUUCCAUGUGUAGCGGUGAAAUGCGCAGAGAUAUGGAGGAACACCAGUGGCGAAGGCGACUUUCUGGUCUGUAACUGACGCUGAUGUGCGAAAGCGUGGGGAUCAAACAGGAUUAGAUACCCUGGUAGUCCACGCCGUAAACGAUGAGUGCUAAGUGUUAGGGGGUUUCCGCCCCUUAGUGCUGCAGCUAACGCAUUAAGCACUCCGCCUGGGGAGUACGACCGCAAGGUUGAAACUCAAAGGAAUUGACGGGGACCCGCACAAGCGGUGGAGCAUGUGGUUUAAUUCGAAGCAACGCGAAGAACCUUACCAAAUCUUGACAUCCUUUGACAACUCUAGAGAUAGAGCCUUCCCCUUCGGGGGACAAAGUGACAGGUGGUGCAUGGUUGUCGUCAGCUCGUGUCGUGAGAUGUUGGGUUAAGUCCCGCAACGAGCGCAACCCUUAAGCUUAGUUGCCAUCAUUAAGUUGGGCACUCUAAGUUGACUGCCGGUGACAAACCGGAGGAAGGUGGGGAUGACGUCAAAUCAUCAUGCCCCUUAUGAUUUGGGCUACACACGUGCUACAAUGGACAAUACAAAGGGCAGCGAAACCGCGAGGUCAAGCAAAUCCCAUAAAGUUGUUCUCAGUUCGGAUUGUAGUCUGCAACUCGACUACAUGAAGCUGGAAUCGCUAGUAAUCGUAGAUCAGCAUGCUACGGUGAAUACGUUCCCGGGUCU
This 1367-nucleotide ribosomal RNA is filed under the name uncultured bacterium. RNAcentral describes it as "16S ribosomal RNA". It matches the Rfam family "Bacterial small subunit ribosomal RNA", at positions 33 to 1381 of the family's 1533-position model. The record is from RNAcentral.